GAUAGGCAAAGUCAGCACUGCCAUGUUAAAUGUGCCUCCAUGUGCUUUUUUUCAACCUUUCUUAUGAAUCUCGCAGACAUGUUUAUCUACUGCUUUUUUGCAUAGGACCAAGGGGUAAAGUUAUA
Molecule: long non-coding RNA, 125 nt
Organism: Leopardus geoffroyi (Geoffroy's cat)
Lineage: Eukaryota; Metazoa; Chordata; Mammalia; Carnivora; Felidae
Exons: 3
Source: RefSeq, a predicted model, not a curated record